RNAcentral lists this ribosomal RNA (482 nucleotides) under uncultured bacterium. Its description in RNAcentral is "partial 16S ribosomal RNA". It matches the Rfam family "Bacterial small subunit ribosomal RNA", at positions 29 to 507 of the family's 1533-position model. The record is from RNAcentral.
AUUGAACGCUGGCGGCAUGCUUUACACAUGCAAGUCGAACGGUAACAGGCCGCAAGGUGCUGACGAGUGGCGAACGGGGGAGUAAUGCAUCGUAACGUGGCCAGUCGUGGGUGAUAAUUACUCGUAAUAGUAGCUAAUACCUCAUACGAACGAUGGAUUAAAGGGGGGGACCGUAGGGCCUCGCUCGAUUGUAGCUGGUGAUGUCAGAUUAGGUAGCUGGUGGGGUAAAGUCGCCCGAAAGCAACGACCGGUAGCUGGUCUGAGAGGACCACCAGCCACACGGGCAGUGAGAAACGGCCGAGACUCCGACGGGAGGAAGCAGUGGGGAAUUCUGGACGAGGCGGGAAAGCCUGAUCCAGCAAUGCGGGGUGAAGGAAGACGGCCUUCGGGUUGUAAACUGCCUUUGUACGGAACGAAACGGCUCUGGUUAAUAACCGGAGCUGAUGACGGUACCGGAAGAAUAAGCACCGGCUAACUACGUG